AAUAUUUUUAAUGGCUACAUAUUUUUUGUCUUUCUUCCAGUGAAUUUCGUUGCAAUUUACACUAUAAAAUCAUAAAGGCAGAUCUCAGUAAACUUUCACAGAAGUAACACAGCUAUGUCAUUACCACAAAUCAAGAAAGAAUGGCACCCCACAAGCACACCUUAUGUAUGCUUAUGUCUGUUCCUUGAAAUGUCUGCUACAGAGACAAACUGAAGUUGUGUAUAUCAUGCUGAUUCAGAAGAGAAUGAAGGCAUUUGUCAAGAGAUAAUGUCAGACUAAUCAGACAUGUUCCAAUCAAUUAAUGCAUUUGGAGGAUUUCCAAAUAUUUGCUGAUCUAAGGAAGGUAUAUGAUGGGAAACAAAUCUGAGAAAAGAAGGAUGGUAGAUGCCUUCCUAUUUUGACCUGUGAUCAUUUUGGCUUGAAAGAAAAGGUCAAGUGUGGUGGCUCAUACCUGUAAUCCCAACAUGUUGGGAGGCAGAGGCAAGAGGAUCACUUGAGACUAGGAGUUUGAGACCAGCCUGGGCAACAUAGCAAAGACCUGUGCCUAUAAACAAAAUAAAUAAAUGAAUAAAAAGACUAUUCAAAUGAUGGAUAGUUUGGUUUUAAAAUAUGAAAAGAACCCAUAGAAAGCCAAAUGAAAAAAGAGAAUAUCAGGAAACAGAGUUUAGCUUGGCAAUAAUUGAACCAAAAUCACUAGGGAUCCAUUCUUUCUCUUUUAUUUUGUAGAUGAGUUAUCUUGCAUAUAUUUCUGCACAUUGCUUUACUUUUCUUUGCUGCAGCCUCACUUCCAAAAUGAAAAUCUUAGAAUUGGCACCCUAUAAUGUUGGUUUACACAUAGUUUGUGGUUAAAAUGUCAUGAACUCUGACAUUAAUUAUCUGUUAUAUCUCCAGAGACUACAUCAGUUUAUUUGAUUCCGUUUUUAAAAAUUAAUUUGUUUGUACACUUUAUGGAGGUAUAAUUGACAUUCUAUAAAGGGCUAAUAUCUCAAAGUACAAUUUGGUAAAACAUAAUUUAUUUGUAUACCAGUAAAACCACCACCAUAAUGAAGAUAAUGAGUAUGUGCAUUAUCCUCAAAGCUUUCCUCAUGCCCUUUUAUAACCUCUUGCUUCCAGCCCUCACCUCUCUGGAUUCCUCUCUGGCAAUCUUUAUCUGCUCUCACGAUGCAUGACUGAAUUUUAUAUAAGUGAAAUCGUAUGUUUGCCUAAUUUCUUUCAUUCAUUUAACUAUUUUAACAUUCACCCAUAUUAAUGUCUAUAUCAUUAUUUAAUGCCUUUUUAACUGCUGAGAAAUACUGUAUUUUAUAGAUAUACCUCAAUUUGUUUAUCCAUUCACAUUUAGGCAAUUGGACAUUUGGGACAUUUGGGUUGUUUCUACUUUUGAGUCAUUAAAGAUGAUGUUAAUGAUGUUACUAUGAGAUUUACGUACAAGUCCAUGUAUAAACAUACGUGUUUUAUUUUGAUAAACACCUAAAAAUGAGAUGACAGAGUCAAAUGGUAGGUUUAUAUUUAACUUCUUAAGAAACUACCACACUUUUGUUCAAAAGCAACUAUCAGAUUUUACAUUCCUACCUGCAGUAAAUGAGACUUCCAGUUGUUUGACAUUUACAAUACUUGGUAAGGUUAGUCUCAAAUUGUAGUCACUCUUACUGGUGUGUGUACUAGGAUUUCUGUGUGUUUUUUAACUUGUGAUGUUCAGAAACUGUUUCUAUGGUGACUUACUAUGUGUAAAUCUUUAUUAAAAAGGAUCUGUUCACAGUC
Long non-coding RNA from Symphalangus syndactylus (siamang), 1758 nucleotides. RefSeq lists it as uncharacterized. Lineage: Eukaryota; Metazoa; Chordata; Mammalia; Primates; Hylobatidae. The record is from RefSeq and is a predicted model, not a curated record.